This is a non-coding RNA of Macaca mulatta (Rhesus monkey), 644 nucleotides long. Lineage: Eukaryota; Metazoa; Chordata; Mammalia; Primates; Cercopithecidae. The record is from RefSeq and is a predicted model, not a curated record.
CGGGAUUAUUUGUCCGCCAGAGCGGAAAUACGUUCCACACCCCCCUCUUUCUCGCUCCCCCUCCUCUGUGCCUCCAGGCCCCGCGGCCAGUCUGCGCGUGCGUGCCAAGUGCCGCGCGGAGGCCCGCUCACUCGGGCCCGCCCCCCAAUCCCGGCUGCCCGUGGCGCUACCCGCUCCGCGUCCCCGCGCGCCCCGCCUGCGCCGCAUCCCGCAGCGCGCGCGCGCGCACCCGUUCUCUAGGCUGCCGGCGCUGUCACCUGCUCCCAGGGGUGGUGCCUCUCCGGUCCAGCUGUGCAGAGCGCUGCCCUGGGUGCAUCAGCGGCACCUCUCAGGGGCCCAACCGACCUGUGGCUAACAGAGCUGUUGACUAAGUUACGGUCUCCACAGCUUCAGCGACAGCAUUUAGGAGCAUCUUGAAGGCUGUUCCCUUCUCUUUCCCUUCUUCUCACCUGAUACUUACACUCACUUCCCCACCUAUCCAAGUCUGUGUGAAGAUGCCACUGUUUCCUGCCAAUUGGAUUUCUUUUUUACGUCCUUCAGGAGAAUAGUGCGUUUUCCUUACGUUUCAAUUCUGAUGAAGUUUCUUAUAAUGUGUUCAAUAUCUGGUUUCCCCAUGAGACUAUAAACUUCUUGGUUGCAGGAAU